GGUUCAUUCAAAUUUCUGCCCUAUCAACUUUCGAUGGUAGGAUAGUGGCCUACCAUGGUUUCAACGGGUAACGGGGAAUUAGGGUUCUAUUCCGGAGAGGGAGCCUGAGAAACGGCUACCACAUCCAAGGAAGGCAGCAGGCGCGCAAAUUACCCAAUCCCGACCGGGGAGGUAGUGACAAUAAAUACUGAUACAGGGCUCUUUUGGGUCUUGUAAUUGGAAUGAGUACAAUUUAAAUCCCUUAACGAGGAACAAUUGGAGGGCAAGUCUGGUGCCAGCAGCCGCGGUAAUUCCAGCUCCAAUAGCGUAUAUUAAAGUUGUUGCAGUUAAAAAGCUCGUAUUG
RNAcentral lists this ribosomal RNA (343 nucleotides) under uncultured fungus. RNAcentral's name for it is "SSU rRNA". It matches the Rfam family "Eukaryotic small subunit ribosomal RNA", at positions 292 to 635 of the family's 1831-position model. Lineage: Eukaryota; Fungi. The record is from RNAcentral.